This 3772-nucleotide unclassified non-coding RNA is filed under the name Camponotus floridanus (Florida carpenter ant). Its description in RNAcentral is "probable phosphorylase b kinase regulatory subunit beta, transcript variant X3". The record is from RNAcentral. Lineage: Eukaryota; Metazoa; Arthropoda; Insecta; Hymenoptera; Formicidae.
AUGGCUACUUUAUUGACAACAUCGUCGAACACAAAAAGAUUCUCGCAGAUUAGAAAUAUGCGGCAAGGCAGCGUGAUAGAUAUAGACGCCGAUAUGUUUCUCAAGAUAUCAAACUAUGAGGAUACUGUCAGACAACUGGACAUAUAUUACGGAAUCGUUAAACGGCAACUGUUGCGUUAUCAGAGUUGCAUAACAGGCUUAUUUCCACAAAUCUCGACUGAUCGGGAGGUCGGCAGCGUGCGCGAAAGUAUAUACUGUGCUGCUGCGAUAUGGAGUCUGUAUCAAGCGUACAGACGUAUCGACGACGAUCGCGGAAAGUCGUACGAAUUGGGGCAAUCCGCGAUAAAAUGUAUGCGGGGUAUCUUGGAAUGUUGGAUAAAGCAAUCCUCCAGAGUAGAGCUCUUUAAGAAAAAUCAAUGUGAUCGUUAUGCGUUGCAUUGUAAAUUUCACUUGAACACUGGCGAUGAAAUUUAUAAAGAUGCCAACUAUCAUCAUUUACAAAUUGACAUUGUAUCCCUCUAUUUGAUAUUUUUGGUACAAAUGAUUUCGUCUGGGCUACAAAUUAUAUACACGCAAGACGAAGUGGCGUUUGUGCAAAACCUAGUAUACUAUGUUGAGAGAGCGUAUCGUACACCGGAUUACGGCAUGUGGGAACGUGGAAGUCGUUACAAUGAUGGAACUCCAGAAAUUCACGCCAGUUCUAUCGGGAUCGCCAAGAGCGCACUGGAGGCGAUCAACGGCUGCAACUUAUUCGGAGAGAAGGGCGCGUCCUGGUCCGUGAUAUACGUCGAUAUUGAUGCUCACAAUCGUAAUCGUAGUAUUUUCGAGACAAUGCUUCCGAGAGAAUCUAGUUCAAAGAGUGUAGAUGCAGCUUUACUACCAACAAUUUCGUUUCCUGCCUUUGCGACUCACGAAGAAAUUCUAUACAAUGAAACCAAGGCAAACAUAGUAGGCAGGCUGAGAGGCAAUUAUGGCUUUAAACGAUUCGGAAGAGAUGGUUAUAAAACGGUGCUGGAGGAUAAGCAGCGACGGUAUUAUAAACCUGGAGAAAUCAAGGAUUUCGAUAGUAUCGAGUGCGAGUGGCCACUAUUUUAUAUCUUUAUGAUAAUAGAUGGUGUAUUCAAAAGUCUACCAGAGCAAGUGGAGGAGUAUCAAAAUUUACUAAAAGCGAGAGUGCACAAAGAUCUCAAUGGAGAUCCAGUGAUUCCCAUGUACUAUUAUGUACCCAUUGAAAAUUUGGAAGCUGAAAGAUGUGAACCAUGCAGUGCUUAUCGUUUACCGAGCGAUGAAGGGAGAGCUUCUAGAUCUAUAGAUCAAGAUUCUGCGCCGAUGUACCUGUGGAAUCAAGCCAUGUUUGUGAUUGCGCAACUGCUGACUGCUAGCCUUUUGCAUAUUAACGAAUUAGAUCCGAUACGUCGAUAUCUACCAUCGUAUAAUCGUCCGAGACGUGCGGGAAGAUAUUCUGCUUUUCAGGCAAAGCCCAGCAGUGGCACUCACACCGACCUAGUAGUACAAAUAGUUCUGAUCGCAGAAUCUAUGCGAUUGCAAGCCAUGAUGGCCACAUAUGGUAUUCAAACGCAAACGCCACAUGAAGUUGAGCCAGUUCAGAUUCUUUCGUCUACUCAAUUAGUGAAAGUUUAUCAAAAACUAGGAGUGAAUAAGAAACUAAAUCUCCAAGGACGACCCGCACGACCUAUAGGUUCUCUAGGUACAAGUAAGGUGUAUAGAGUCUGUGGUAUGACGGUGCUCUGUUAUCCUUUAAUCUUCGAGGUAUCCGAAUUUUAUUUGUACAGAGACAUGGCUCUAUUAAUCGAUGAUAUUAAAACGGAAUUGCAAUUCGUGGGCAAGUAUUGGCGUCUCUCUGGCCGACCCACCGUAUGUCUCUUGAUACGGGAGGAACACAUGCGAGAUCCGCAAUUUAAAAAGAUGUUGGACCUCUUUGCGAUGUUGAAGAAAGGUUACUGUGAUAAAACAAAAGUUCGAAUCGGCCGUUUACAAAAUCUAAUUUCAUCCUCUUGCAUCGAGCAUCUGGACUUUGUAAAUACGAUGGAAACAGAUCUGGAUCUAACACAAUUUAGACAACUGCAGCAUGAUUAUAUUGGUUAUCAAAGCCUCACAGAUGUCCCAAGAGCCAUCGCUUACGCAGAAGACGUCACUGAUUAUUCUUGUAUGAUAAAUGAACCCCUGAGCAAUAUAUUAAACGAACUUCGCAAUAGCAUUGGUCUAUAUGCCAAGUGUCAACUGUAUGGUAUUCUCGUAAAACGAGAAGGAAUUAAUUACGAAGUUAAUGGAACGACAGUUCGUGAUAAUUUGAGAUCAUUAUAUCAACAAGCUGGAUCCUUAAGAUUUUGGAUGGCUGUACGUUAUUGCAGUAGUUUGUUGAAUCAUACAGUAGAUAGCAUCAGUCCCUUUAUUACUGGUGUACUAGUCAAAGGAAAACAGAUCGCAGUGGGAGUGAUUGGAGAGGAAGAAACGAUAUUCGACAAACCGAUGACUCCGGCGGAGAUACAAUCGGUGAUGUAUUCCACGAUACAACCGCAUAAUGUGGUACAGGCUGUGCUUCAGCAAGAGAUUCUAUUGUACUGUGGCAGGCUUAUUGGUACUAAUCCAGAGAUGUUUAAAGGCAUAUUAAAAAUACGUAUCGGAUGGGUCCUGGAAGCGAUGAAGCUCUACUUGCAAAUGUUCGUGAAGAAUGCCAAACCAAUCGAAAAUUAUAGUCCUUAUGAAGUUCGGCAGUUUCUCAUCAAAGUAUUGACUGUCAAAGAAUGGGCUCAUACAGAAAAUCUGACAGUGAUUGGCCGCCGCAAAAUUGAGGGUUGCUUAUGUAGAGUACCGACACACUUUUAUAAUCAAGUGUGGGAAGUUUUGAUGCGCUGCCCCGGUGGUAUCUUGGUGAAUGGACGCGAAUUACCUCAGCAGCCUACCGUAUCCAGCAUGACUCGUUCCGAGAUCACGUUUGCUCUGCUCGUGGAAUCUUUGCUACAUCACAUACAGAUGCCGGAAUAUCGUCAAAUCGUAGUUGAACUCUUGAGUAUUGUAUCGACCAUCUUGCUUCGAAAUCCAGAAUUAAGCUUCCAAAGAAAGCUGCAUCUUAACCAGCUUGUGGAAGAUAGUUUCAUCAUGUACUGCAAGGAUCACAAUUUAUCAAAUACCGAUGAUAAAUCAUCCUUUUUCUCUGCACAUUACUCGGUGACCACGGGAUAUCUCGCUAGAGCUGUAGUCAACAACGUUCUUACCGGUGGUUGCGUGACAACAAUUGUAGAUCCUAGCGAUGUUGAAUCACCCCGAGAAAUGUGUAAAAUUACAUAACGAUACGAGUCGGUAUCAAAAAGAUUAAAGAUCUAAAAGGGAGAUUAUUAUUUAAUAUUAGUAAGAAAGUAAUACAUGUAGACGUGUGUAAUGUAUCUGCUAUGUGUAUAUAUAUAUAUUAUCAGGUUCAAGAUAAAGCACGGUGAUGAUAUAGAGUCGAUCAGGUGCAAUGCAAAAUUUUCGCUUUCUCGGAUAAAAGUCAUCUCUUGGCGAAAUUCAUGUCCAUUGCGCGACCGGAACGUUGUAUGUUGUUAAUAUUGGCUUUAAUCCUAGAUGCGACAGUACCCAUUUCUGUCGCGACAACCAGUUGUUUCCUAUAACAAAUGCCAUAUUUUAAUCGAAUUAAUAUCUAAUAAUAUAUACAAAUUUAUUUUUUAUAUCGUAUAUUAUAUCUAUUUCGCGGAAAUGUAUGUAUAUAUAUAUAUAUAAACGUGAAACACGUCUAAUCGUGUACCUGAUAAAA